Molecule: long non-coding RNA, 1368 nt
Organism: Myodes glareolus (Bank vole)
Lineage: Eukaryota; Metazoa; Chordata; Mammalia; Rodentia; Cricetidae
Source: RefSeq, a predicted model, not a curated record
GCAUGUGGUGCACAGACUUACAAGCAAAAUACUCAUACACAUAAAACAAAUAGGUGUUUGGGCUGCAUGUCCGGCAGUGCUCACAGAAGACAGUGUUGGAUCCCCUGGAACUGGGGUUAAAGACCAUUGUGAACCAUCACACGGGUCCUGGGAAUGGAACUGGGGUCCUCUGGAAGAGUGGGCAGUGCCCUUAACUGAUGAGCCAUCUUUGUAUCCCAUUGGCAAAGAAGUUUUAAAAAGGGAGACUCAGUCAUUUAUAGUGGGAUAUGCUUGUAACCUCAGCACUUGGGGAGCAGAGGCAGGAGGGUUGCUGUGAGUUUGAGACCAGUCUUAAGUUGGUUCACAGAGCAAGUUCUAGGUAAACCAGGACUACACAGUUGUCGCAAACCAAAGCAAACCAACAACCCCUCAGCCCUAAAUGGGGCAUCUACAUCUUCUGCUCCAGUGCCGUGGGACACCAUGGGAAACUUGGCGGAAAGUGUAAGGUGAGAAGGGACUAGGGAGUGGGAGAAGGUAACAGGGAUAAACUUGGUCAUGAACAAUAAAAACAAAAUGGAAAAACAAAACAACCCACCUGUCUCACCAAAAGAAGAUCCCCUCCCCUCUUAAGUAGCCCUUUUUAAAAAGGUUUAUUGAUUUUUAUUUUAUGUGUAUGAAUAUUUUACCUACAUGUACUUAUGCAUACCUGGUACCCACACAGACCAGACGAGGGCAUCAGAUCCCCUGGGACUGGAGUUACAGAUGAUUCUGAGCUGCCGUGUGGAUGCUGGAAACCGACCGUGGGUCCUCUGUAACAGCUGUCACUGCUAACCCCCGUGCCACCUCCCCAGCCUGGGCUCUUUACCUUUUAUUCCGCAGUUUUAGAUUCAGUGCUAAACUGAGAGGAAAGUGUUGAUACAGCCUUCCCCAUUAUCAGCACAUCCCACCGGAGUGGGACAUUUGUUACAACUGAUGAGCUUUUGUUGCUGUAGCCAUCUAAGGCAGGACUCACUCUUGGUGUCCCAUGUGAUUCUGGUGAAUGUGUGAUGAUGUCAAUCAUUGUAUUGUUUGCAAUCAACUCGCGGCUUAGAAAUCCUCCCCUCUGUUUUCCCGCUUCUCCACAAGCUAGCCCAUAACCGCUGAUGUAUUUAAUAUUACCUUAGUUUUGCCUUUCCCCAGAACGUAACAGAGUUGAAAUCAUAUAGUACUUUGCUUUUUCAGAUGGGCUUUUUUUUUCACUCAGUGAUAUGCAUUUAAAAAUUCCCUGUGUUUUCCAUAACUUGGUGGAUCAUUUCUUUUUAUGUCAAUGUACCACAGUUAAUUUCUUAAGAGUGUCUUGAUUUCUUGCAAGUGUUGACGGUUAUAAAUAAAGUAGCUUGUGUUGGCUAA